UAGGGAAUCUUCCGCAAUGGACGAAAGUCUGACGGAGCAACGCCGCGUGAACGAUGAAGGCCUUCGGGUCGUAAAGUUCUUUUGUUAGGGAAGAACAAGUGCUAGUUAAAUAAGCUGGCACCUUGACGGUACCUAACCAGAAAGCCACGGCUAACUACGUGCCAGCAGCCGCGGUAAUACGUAGGUGGCAAGCGUUGUCCGGAAUUAUUGGGCGUAAAGCGCGCGCAGGCGGUUUCUUAAGUCUGAUGUGAAAGCCCCCGGCUCAACCGGGGAGGGUCAUUGGAAACUGGGAAACUUGAGUGCAGAAGAGGAAAGUGGAAUUCCAAGUGUAGCGGUGAAAUGCGUAGAGAUUUGGAGGAACACCAGUGGCGAAGGCGACUUUCUGGUCUGUAACUGACGCUGAGGCGCGAAAGCGUGGGGAGCAAACA
RNAcentral lists this ribosomal RNA (428 nucleotides) under uncultured Bacillus sp. RNAcentral describes it as "bacterial SSU rRNA". It matches the Rfam family "Bacterial small subunit ribosomal RNA", at positions 355 to 774 of the family's 1533-position model. Lineage: Bacteria; Bacillati; Bacillota; Bacilli; Caryophanales; Bacillaceae. The record is from RNAcentral.